GACGAACGCUGGCGGCGUGCUUAACACAUGCAAGUCGAACGGAAAGGCCCUGCUUUUGUGGGGUGCUUUAGUGGCGAACGGGUGAGUAAAACGUGAUUAACCUGCCUUUGACUUUGGGAUAACUUCAGGAAAUUGGGGCUAAUACCGGCUAGGAGCUCCUGCUGCAUGGUGGGGGUUGGAAAGUUUCGGCGGUUGGGGAUGGACUCGCGGCUUAUCAGCUUGUUGGUGGGGUAGUGGCUUACCAAGGCUUUGACGGGUAGCCGGCCUGAGAGGGUGACCGGCCACAUUGGGACUGAGAUACGGCCCAGACUCCUACGGGAGGCAGCAGUGGGGAAUAUUGCACAAUGGGCGGAAGCCUGAUGCAGCAACGCCGCGUGCGGGAUGACGGCCUUCGGGUUGUAAACCGCUUUCGCCUGUGACGAAGCGUGAGUGGCGGUAAUGGGUAAAGAAGCACCGGCUAACUACGUG
RNAcentral lists this ribosomal RNA (468 nucleotides) under uncultured bacterium. RNAcentral describes it as "partial 16S ribosomal RNA". It matches the Rfam family "Bacterial small subunit ribosomal RNA", at positions 28 to 507 of the family's 1533-position model. The record is from RNAcentral.